UACCUGCAGCUCAAGUGGUGACCACUAUUAUUGGGCCUAAAACGUUCGUAGCCGGUUUAUUAAAUGCUUGGGUAAAUCGUGUAGCUUAACUGUACGAAUUCCGGGUAGACUGAUAGACUUGAGACCGGGAGAAGCUAGAGGUACUCCUGGGGUAGAGGUGAAAUUCUGUAAUCCUGGGGGGACCACCAGUGGCGAAGGCGUCUAGCUAGAACGGGUCUGACGGUGAGGAACGAAGCCCUGGGGCGCAAACCGGAUUAGAUACCCGGGUAGUCCAGGGUGUAAACGCUGCUUGCUUGAUGUUAGUUGGGCUCCGAGCCCAAUUAGUGUCGGAGAGAAGUUGUUAAGCAAGCUGCCUGGGAAGUACGAUCGCAAGAUUGAAACUUAAAGGAAUUGGCGGGGGAGCACAGCAACGGGUGAAGCGUGCGGUUU
Molecule: ribosomal RNA, 429 nt
Filed under: uncultured archaeon
Lineage: Archaea
Description: bacterial SSU rRNA
Rfam family: Archaeal small subunit ribosomal RNA
Source: RNAcentral